Molecule: ribosomal RNA, 450 nt
Filed under: uncultured bacterium
Lineage: Bacteria
Description: partial 16S ribosomal RNA
Rfam family: Bacterial small subunit ribosomal RNA
Source: RNAcentral
GUGGGGAAUAUUCCGCAAUGGACGAAAGUCUGACGGAGCAACGCCGCGUGAGUGAUGAAGGUUUUCGGACUGUAAAGCUCUGUUGUUUAGGACGAAAGUGCCUGUUGCGAAUAGUUACAGGUAUUGACGGUACUGAACGAGGAAGCCACGGCUAACUACGUGCCAGCAGCCGCGGUAAUACGUAGGUGGCAAGCGUUGUCCGGAAUUAUUGGGCGUAAAGAGCAUGUAGGCGGGAAUCUAAGUCUGUUGUGAAAAUGCGGGGCUCAACCCCGUAUUGCGAUGGAAACUGGGUUUCUUGAGUGCAGGAGAGGAAAGGGGAAUUCCCAGUGUAGCGGUGAAAUGCGUAGAUAUUGGGAGGAACACCAGUGGCGAAGGCGCCUUUCUGGACUGUGUCUGACGCUGAGAUGCGAAAGCCAGGGUAGCGAACGGGAUUAGAUACCCGUGUAGUCC